UCUCUUUGUAAUGGCGGUCAGGUGUGAAGGCUGCGGCCCGGGCGCCAUCCGCCGCCAUCCGCCCGCUCUCGGCGCCUUCCCUCCGUCCGGCCCCGCCGCAUCGGUGCCUCGGGGGCUCGGCUACCGGGCGGCGGCAGCUGGGGGCGCUCGGAUGGCGGGCAGCGCGGCUGCAGGGUGACAUGGCCGCCUCCCUGCGCCUGGGUGAGAAACUAGCUGGAGUUCAAGACUGCUGCAGUCCCCGGUGUCGUCCUGGCGUGGGAGGUGGCCCUGCAGCACCAGGCAGGGUUCCUUGGUGUUUGCGAGCUCGCUCAGCUGAUGGCCUGCCUGCCGGGAUGGACUCGAGGAAUUACUCCCGUAGUGGAAGAGGCUGA
RNAcentral lists this long non-coding RNA (371 nucleotides) under Anser brachyrhynchus (Pink-footed goose). Its description in RNAcentral is "lncRNA (ENSABRG00000009728.1)". Lineage: Eukaryota; Metazoa; Chordata; Aves; Anseriformes; Anatidae. The record is from RNAcentral.